Molecule: ribosomal RNA, 481 nt
Filed under: uncultured bacterium
Lineage: Bacteria
Description: SSU rRNA
Rfam family: Bacterial small subunit ribosomal RNA
Source: RNAcentral
AGGACGAACGCUGGCGGCGUGCUUAACACAUGCAAGUCGAACGGUGAUCCCCUUCGGGGGUGAUCAGUGGCGAACGGGUGAGUAACACGUGAGCAACCUGCCCCUGACUCUGGGAUAACCCCGGGAAACCGGAGCUAAUACCGGAUAUGACGCGCUCGGGCAUCCGAUGCGUGUGGAAAGAUUUAUCGGUCAGGGAUGGGCUCGCGGCCUAUCAGCUUGUUGGUGGGGUAAUGGCCUACCAAGGCGACGACGGGUAGCCGGCCUGAGAGGGCGACCGGCCACACUGGGACUGAGACACGGCCCAGACUCCUACGGGAGGCAGCAGUGGGGAAUAUUGCGCAAUGGGCGAAAGCCUGACGCAGCGACGCCGCGUGAGGGAUGAAGGCCUUCGGGUUGUAAACCUCUUUCAGCAGGGAAGAAGCGAAAGUGACGGUACCUGCAGAAGAAGCACCGGCUAACUACGCGCCAGCAGCCGCGGUAA